Molecule: ribosomal RNA, 1287 nt
Filed under: metagenome
Description: bacterial SSU rRNA
Rfam family: Bacterial small subunit ribosomal RNA
Source: RNAcentral
UAGCUAGUUGGUGAGGUAACGGCUUACCAAGGCGACGAUCUGUAGCGGGUCUGAGAGGAUGAUCCGCCACACUGGAACUGAGACACGGUCCAGACUCCUACGGGAGGCAGCAGUGGGGAAUUUUGGACAAUGGGGGCAACCCUGAUCCAGCCAUGCCGCGUGAGUGAAGAAGGCCUUCGGGUUGUAAAGCUCUUUCGGCCGGGAAGAAAUCGCAUGGGCCAAUACCCUGUGUGGAUGACGGUACCGGAAUAAGAAGCACCGGCUAACUACGUGCCAGCAGCCGCGGUAAUACGUAGGGUGCGAGCGUUAAUCGGAAUUACUGGGCGUAAAGCGUGCGCAGGCGGUUUUGUAAGACAGGCGUGAAAUCCCCGGGCUCAACCUGGGAACUGCGUUUGUGACUGCAAGGCUAGAGUACGGCAGAGGGGGGUGGAAUUCCACGUGUAGCAGUGAAAUGCGUAGAGAUGUGGAGGAACACCAAUGGCGAAGGCAGCCCCCUGGGUCGAUACUGACGCUCAUGCACGAAAGCGUGGGUAGCAAACAGGAUUAGAUACCCUGGUAGUCCACGCCCUAAACUAUGUCAACUAGGUGUUGGGUGGGUAAAACCAUUUAGUACCGUAGCUAACGCGUGAAGUUGACCGCCUGGGGAGUACGGCCGCAAGGUUAAAACUCAAAGGAAUUGACGGGGACCCGCACAAGCGGUGGAUGAUGUGGAUUAAUUCGAUGCAACGCGAAAAACCUUACCUACCCUUGACAUGCCAGGAACUUGCCAGAGAUGGCUUGGUGCCCGAAAGGGAGCCUGGACACAGGUGCUGCAUGGCUGUCGUCAGCUCGUGUCGUGAGAUGUUGGGUUAAGUCCCGCAACGAGCGCAACCCUUGUCGUUAAUUGCCAUCAUUUAGUUGGGCACUUUAGCGAGACUGCCGGUGACAAACCGGAGGAAGGUGGUGAUGACGUCAAGUCCUCAUGGCCCUUAUGGGUAGGGCUUCACACGUCAUACAAUGGUCGGUACAAAGGGUCGCCAAGCCGCGAGGUGGAGCCAAUCCCAGAAAGCCGAUCGUAGUCCGGAUUGCAGGCUGCAACUCGCCUGCAUGAAGUCGGAAUCGCUAGUAAUCGUGGAUCAGCAUGUCACGGUGAAUACGUUCCCGGGUCUUGUACACACCGCCCGUCACACCAUGGGAGCGGGUUCCGCCAGAAGUAGGCAGCCUAACCGCAAGGAGGGCGCUUACCACGGCGGGGUUCGUGACUGGGGUGAAGUCGGAACAAGGUAGCCGUAGGGGAACCUGCGGCUG